AGAGUUUGAUCCUGGCUCAGGACGAACUCUGGCGGCGUGCUUAAUACAUGCAAGUCGAACGAUGAUGCUUGGUGCUUGCGCUGGGUGGAUUAGUGGCGAACGGGUGAGUAAUACGUGAGUAACCUGCCCCUGUCUUUGGGAUAAGCCUGGGAAACUGGGUCUAAUACUGGAUAUUCUGCUUGAACCGCAUGGUUUUUGUUGGAAAUAUUUUUCGGAUGGGGAUGGGCUCACGGCCUAUCAGCUUGUUGGUGGGGUGAUGGCCUACCAAGGCGUCGACGGGUAGCCGGCCUGAGAGGGUGACCGGCCACAUUGGGACUGAGAUACGGCCCACACUCCUACGGGAGGCAGCAGUGGGGAAUAUUGCACAAUGGACGCAAGUCUGAUGCAGCGACGCCGCGUGGGGGAUGAAGGCUUUCGGGUUGUAAACUCCUUUCAGUACAGAAGAAGCGAAAGUGACGGUAUGUGCAGAAGAAGCACCGGCUAACUACGUGCCAGCAGCCGCGGUAAUACGUAGGGUGCGAGCGUUGUCCGGAAUUAUUGGGCGUAAAGAGCUCGUAGGCGGUUUGUUGCGCCUGCUGUGAAAACCUGGGGCUUAACUUCGGGAUUGCAGUGGGUACGGGCAGACUAGAGUGUGGUAGGGGUAAUUGGAAUUCCUGGUGUAGCGGUGGAAUGCGCAGAUAUCAGGAGGAACACCGAUGGCGAAGGCAGGUUACUGGGCCACCACUGACGCUGAGGAGCGAAAGCGUGGGUAGCGAACAGGAUUAGAUACCCUGGUAGUCCACGCCGUAAACGUUGGGCACUAGGUGUGGGGCCUUUCCAUGGGUUCUGCGCCGUAGCUAACGCAUUAAGUGCCCCGCCUGGGGAGUACGGCCGCAAGGCUAAAACUCAAAGGAAUUGACGGGGGCCCGCACAAGCGGAGGAACAUGUGGUUUAAUUCGAUGAUACGCGAGGAACCUUACCCGGGCUCGAACGGUGCAUGAAUAUACGAGAGAUUGUAUAGUCCUUCGGGACAUGUAUCGAGGCGCUGCAUGGUUGUCGUCAGCUCGUGCCGUGAGGUGUCGGCUUAAGUGCCAUAACGAGCGCAACCCUUGUCAUUAGUUGCCAUCAGGUCAAGCUGGGGACUUUAAUGAGACUGCCACCGUAAGGUGUGAGGAAGGGGGGGAUGACGUCAAAUCAGCACGGCCCUUAUGUCCGGGGCGACACACGUGUUACAAUGGGAGGUACAGAGGGCAGCUAUCCGGUGACGGAAUGCUAAUCUCCAAAGCCGGUCUCAGUUCGGAUCGAAGUCUGCAACUCGACUUCGUGAAGUUGGAUUCGCUAGUAAUCGUAUAUCAGCAACGAUACGGUGAAUACGUUCCCGGGCCUUGUACUCACCGCCCGUCAAG
RNAcentral lists this ribosomal RNA (1385 nucleotides) under uncultured bacterium. RNAcentral's name for it is "bacterial SSU rRNA". It matches the Rfam family "Bacterial small subunit ribosomal RNA". The record is from RNAcentral.